UACGUAGGGUGCAAGCGUUAAUCGGAAUUACUGGGCGUAAAGCGUGCGCAGGCGGUUGUGCAAGUCAGAUGUGAAAUCCCCGGGCUUAACCUGGGAACUGCAUUUGUGACUGCACGGCUGGAGUGCGGCAGAGGGGGAUGGAAUUCCGCGUGUAGCAGUGAAAUGCGUAGAUAUGCGGAGGAACACCGAUGGCGAAGGCAAUCCCCUGGGCCUGCACUGACGCUCAUGCACGAAAGCGUGGGGAGCAAACAGG
This 253-nucleotide ribosomal RNA is filed under the name uncultured bacterium. RNAcentral describes it as "partial 16S ribosomal RNA". It matches the Rfam family "Bacterial small subunit ribosomal RNA", at positions 524 to 776 of the family's 1533-position model. The record is from RNAcentral.